AGCGAACGUUAGCGGCAGGCUUAACACAUGCAAGUCGAGCGAGAAAGGGGUUUCGGCCCCAAGUAAAGCGGCGGACGGGUGCGUAACACGUGGAUAAUCUGCCUCGUGGCGGGGGAUAACAGCCCGAAAGGACUGCUAAUACCGCAUGUCACGAUGAAGGUCUCGGCCUUCAUCGAAAAAGAGGGCGCCGCAAGGGCUCUCACCACGAGAUGAGUCCGCGUCCCAUCAGCUAGUUGGCGGUGUAAUGGACCACCAAGGCUUAGACGGGUAGCUGGU
This 276-nucleotide ribosomal RNA is filed under the name uncultured bacterium. RNAcentral describes it as "partial 16S ribosomal RNA". It matches the Rfam family "Bacterial small subunit ribosomal RNA", at positions 29 to 291 of the family's 1533-position model. The record is from RNAcentral.